UGCUCCUCCAAAGCCGGAGCCCAAACCUAAAAAGGCCCCUGCAAAGAAGGGAGAGAAGGUACCAAAAGGGAAAAGGGAAAAGCUGAGGCUGGCCAGGAGGGGAAUAACCCUGCAGAAAAUGGAGAUGCCCAAACAGACCAGACACAGAAAGCUGAAGGUGCUGCAGAUGCCAAGUGAAAAUUAGACCUUUACGAGAAGCACAGUUUUGUCUUCAGUUUCCUCUCCCCCCACCCGGAAUGGCCUGAGCCGAAGCCAGCUCCCUCCGAGAAGUCAUUACCGCCUGACUUGCGUUUGAUAUUUAGACACCUUGGUCACAACAUCUUGCAUUCUCUCGGGAUGCUGAUUUCUAACUGCUCUUUGGCCUUUCCUGCAUUGGUCCUCCUCAGGCAGGGGAUCCCUGCUCUUCUAUAUUAGUG
RNAcentral lists this long non-coding RNA (416 nucleotides) under Homo sapiens (human). Its description in RNAcentral is "non-protein coding lnc-AAGAB-1:36". The record is from RNAcentral. Lineage: Eukaryota; Metazoa; Chordata; Mammalia; Primates; Hominidae.